GAUCUUGAGUUCACCCAAACCGGCUCGCAAUUCAGAACUGAAGAAUUUUAAUAUCAAGAAUAAAAAAUGAACCGUCAGCUUGUGUUGGUCUUGAUCAUCGCCUCCCUGGUGGCGUUUGGUUCUUGUGGUCGUCGUCGAAGGCAUCGUCUUACUUCACUGAAUGACCAGCAAUCAAUUGAUGAUGAUAAKUUGUCAAGUCUGCUUUGGAAAAGAGACUGUACCUGCCCAAAUGGCGAUUCUGGAGUAUGGAACUACAGGAUUUGUCCCAGGGGUCAGAGUGCUUGCAUUUAUGGCCAUCCAAAAAACAGAAUGCUGCGAUGUUGUCAUUAAAUAAUAAUAUAAAAAAAGUUUGCAGAAUACGAAGUUUGUUUUCCAAACAGAAAAGUCAAAUAGUUUCUCAACUUAACGAUAAAUUGCUUGUAUUUAUACUAGCUAUUACUAGUCGAUGACUGUCGAAUAUUUCUGUAAACAAAAAAAGCAAAAUUGUAUGUACAAGUCCCUUGGAUUCUUAAUUAAUCACAAGUAAUGCCAAAUGUUUGUAGCUAGCUAUAGUUUCAGAAAAAAAUUAAAAAACAAAAUUUUACGUGGAUAAAAAAAAUGACAACAAUAAUGUAAAAAAGGCGGGAAAAUCAUUAUGCAAAUCAUC
Long non-coding RNA from Exaiptasia diaphana, 646 nucleotides. RefSeq lists it as uncharacterized. NCBI's taxonomy places the organism in Eukaryota, Metazoa, Cnidaria, Anthozoa, Actiniaria, Aiptasiidae. The record is from RefSeq and is a predicted model, not a curated record. The transcript has 3 exons.